GCACAAGCGGUGGAGCAUGUGGCUUAAUUCGACGCAACGCGAAGAACCUUACCAAGGCUUGACGUACACCGGAAACGGCCAGAGAUGGUCGCCCCCUUGUGGUCGGUGUACAGGUGGUGCAUGGCUGUCGUCAGCUCGUGUCGUGAGAUGUUGGGUUAAGUCCCGCAACGAGCGCAACCCUUGUUCUGUGUUGCCAGCAUGCCCUUCGGGGUGAUGGGGACUCACAGGAGACUGCCGGGGUCAACUCGGAGGAAGGUGGGGACGACGUCAAGUCAUCAUGCCCCUUAUGUCUUGGGCUGCACACGUGCUACAAUGGCAGGUACAAUGAGCUGCGAAGCCGUGAGGCGGAGCGAAUCUCAAAAAGCCUGUCUCAGUUCGGAUUGGGGUCUGCAACUCGACCCCAUGAAGUCGGAGUUGCUAGUAAUCGCAGAUCAGCAUUGCUGCGGUGAAUACGUUCCCGGGC
RNAcentral lists this ribosomal RNA (463 nucleotides) under uncultured bacterium. RNAcentral describes it as "bacterial SSU rRNA". It matches the Rfam family "Bacterial small subunit ribosomal RNA", at positions 923 to 1379 of the family's 1533-position model. The record is from RNAcentral.